This 301-nucleotide ribosomal RNA is filed under the name uncultured bacterium. RNAcentral's name for it is "partial 16S ribosomal RNA". It matches the Rfam family "Bacterial small subunit ribosomal RNA", at positions 509 to 809 of the family's 1533-position model. The record is from RNAcentral.
CAGUCGCCGCGGGAAUACGUAGGUGGCAAGCGUUGUCCGGAAUUAUUGGGCGUAAAGGGCUCGCAGGCGGUUUCUUAAGUCUGAUGUGAAAGCCCCCGGCUCAACCGGGGAGGGUCAUUGGAAACUGGGAAACUUGAGUGCAGAAGAGGAGAGUGGAAUUCCACGUGUAGCGGUGAAAUGCGUAGAGAUGUGGAGGAACACCAGUGGCGAAGGCGACUCUCUGGUCUGUAACUGACGCUGAGGAGCGAAAGCGUGGGGAGCGAACAGGAUUAGAUACCCGUGUAGUCCCUGUCUCUUAUAA